UGCCGGUUACUUCGCAAUUUCACCCUGUGAACCCCGCCAGGACCGGAAGGUAGCAACGGUAGCAGAUGUGGGAUGUGCCGAAGCUUUGCUGGUAGGG
Molecule: signal recognition particle RNA, 97 nt
Filed under: Acinetobacter indicus
Lineage: Bacteria; Pseudomonadati; Pseudomonadota; Gammaproteobacteria; Moraxellales; Moraxellaceae
Description: signal recognition particle sRNA small type
Rfam family: Bacterial small signal recognition particle RNA
About the family: The signal recognition particle (SRP) is a universally conserved ribonucleoprotein involved in the co-translational targeting of proteins to membranes. Archaeal SRP consists of a 7S RNA and homologues of the eukaryotic SRP19 and SRP54 proteins.
Source: RNAcentral